UUGCAUGUGGAAAUAUCUGCUCCUCAUUUCUUUAGGAGCAAGAAUACAUCCAUAACAUGCUACAUUGAAAGGAGUUUUCAGGGCUGCCAACCUUACAGUAGAGGUUGAGUAGUAGUAUGUUUCUCCUACACAA
This 133-nucleotide small nucleolar RNA is filed under the name Procavia capensis (Cape rock hyrax). Its description in RNAcentral is "Small nucleolar RNA U109 (ENSPCAG00000019631.1)". It matches the Rfam family "Small nucleolar RNA U109". The record is from RNAcentral. Lineage: Eukaryota; Metazoa; Chordata; Mammalia; Hyracoidea; Procaviidae.